This 678-nucleotide ribosomal RNA is filed under the name uncultured bacterium. RNAcentral's name for it is "bacterial SSU rRNA". It matches the Rfam family "Bacterial small subunit ribosomal RNA", at positions 124 to 790 of the family's 1533-position model. The record is from RNAcentral.
AUCUGCCUUUGAGCGGGGGACAAUAUUUGGAAACGAAUGCUAAUACCGCAUAACAACUUUAAACACAAGUUUUAAGUUUGAAAGAUGCAAUUGCAUCACUCAAAGAUGAUCCCGCGUUGUAUUAGCUAGUUGGUGAGGUAAAGGCUCACCAAGGCGAUGAUACAUAGCCGACCUGAGAGGGUGAUCGGCCACAUUGGGACUGAGACACGGCCCAAACUCCUACGGGAGGCAGCAGUAGGGAAUCUUCGGCAAUGGACGAAAGUCUGACCGAGCAACGCCGCGUGAGUGAAGAAGGUUUUCGGAUCGUAAAACUCUGUUGGUAGAGAAGAACGUUGGUGAGAGUGGAAAGCUCAUCAAGUGACGGUAACUACCCAGAAAGGGACGGCUAACUACGUGCCAGCAGCCGCGGUAAUACGUAGGUCCCGAGCGUUGUCCGGAUUUAUUGGGCGUAAAGCGAGCGCAGGUGGUUUAUUAAGUCUGGUGUAAAAGGCAGUGGCUCAACCAUUGUAUGCAUUGGAAACUGGUAGACUUGAGUGCAGGAGAGGAGAGUGGAAUUCCAUGUGUAGCGGUGAAAUGCGUAGAUAUAUGGAGGAACACCGGUGGCGAAAGCGGCUCUCUGGCCUGUAACUGACACUGAGGCUCGAAAGCGUGGGGAGCAAACAGGAUUAGAUACCCUGG